Molecule: ribosomal RNA, 446 nt
Filed under: uncultured bacterium
Lineage: Bacteria
Description: bacterial SSU rRNA
Rfam family: Bacterial small subunit ribosomal RNA
Source: RNAcentral
CGCCAGACUCCUACGGGAGGCAGCAGUGGGGGAUAUUGCACAAUGGGGGGAACCCUGAUGCAGCGACGCCGCGUGGGUGAAGGAGCGUUUCGGCGCGUAAAGCCCUGUCAGCAGGGAAGAAAAUGACGGUACCUGAAGAAGAAGCCCCGGCUAACUACGUGCCAGCAGCCGCGGUAAUACGUAGGGGGCAAGCGUUAUCCGGAUUUACUGGGUGUAAAGGGGGCGCAGACGGCGAUGCAAGCCAGGAGUGAAAGCCCGGGGCCCAACCCCGGGACUGCUCUUGGAACUGCGUGGCUGGAGUGCAGGAGGGGCAGGCGGAAUUCCUGGUGUAGCGGUGAAAUGCGUAGAUAUCAGGAGGAACACCGGUGGCGAAGGCGGCCUGCUGGACUGCAACUGACGUUGAGGCCCGAAAGCGUGGGGAGCAAACAGGAUUAGAUACCCGCGUA